RNAcentral lists this ribosomal RNA (461 nucleotides) under uncultured bacterium. RNAcentral describes it as "bacterial SSU rRNA". It matches the Rfam family "Bacterial small subunit ribosomal RNA", at positions 335 to 792 of the family's 1533-position model. The record is from RNAcentral.
ACUCCUACGGGAGGCAGCAGUGGGGAAUAUUGCACAAUGGGGAAACCCUGAUGCAGCCAUGCCGCGUGUGUGAAGAAGGCCUCGGUUGUAAAGCACUUCAGUAGGAGGAAGGUAGUGUAGUUAACACCUGCACUAUUUGACGUUACCUACAGAAGAAGCACCGGCUAACUCCGUGCCAGCAGCCGCGGUAAUACGGAGGGGUGCGAGCGUUAAUCGGAAUUACUGGGCGUAAAGCGCAUGCAGGCGGCCUGUUAAGUCAGAUGUGAAAGCCCGGGGGCUUAACCUCGGAAUUGCAUUUGAAACUGGCAGGCUAGAGUCUUGUAGAGGGGGUAGAAUUUCAGGUGUAGCGGUGAAAUGCGUAGAGAUCUGAAGGAAUACCAGUGGCGAAGGCGGCCCCCUGGACAAAGACUGACGCUCAGAUGCGAAAGCGUGGGGAGCAAACAGGAUUAGAUACCCUGGUA